Molecule: RNA transcript, 5342 nt
Organism: Pan troglodytes (chimpanzee)
Lineage: Eukaryota; Metazoa; Chordata; Mammalia; Primates; Hominidae
Gene: LYPLAL1
Gene name: lysophospholipase like 1
Exons: 8
Source: RefSeq, marked provisional
GUGCGCGGCCCCGCGCGGCAACGCAGGGGCGGAACCGCAUGACUGGCAGUGGUAUCAGCGAUGGCGGCUGCGUCGGGGUCGGUUCUGCAGCGCUGUAUCGUGUCGCCGGCAGGGAGGCAUAGCGCCUCUCUGAUCUUCCUGCAUGGCUCAGGUGAUUCUGGACAAGGAUUAAGAAUGUGGAUCAAGCAGGUUUUAAAUCAAGAUUUAACAUUCCAACACAUAAAAAUUAUUUAUCCAACAGCUCCUCCCAGAUCAUAUACUCCUAUGAAAGGAGGAAUCUCCAAUGUAUGGUUUGACAGAUUUAAAAUAACCAAUGACUGCCCAGAACACCUUGAAUCAAUUGAUGUCAUGUGUCAAGUGCUUACUGAUUUGAUUGAUGAAGAAGUAAAAAGUGGCAUCAAGAAGAACAGGAUAUUAAUAGGAGGAUUCUCUAUGGGAGGAUGCAUGGCAAUGCAUUUAGCAUAUAGAAAUCAUCAAGAUGUGGCAGGAGUAUUUGCUCUUUCUAGUUUUCUGAAUAAAGCAUCUGCUGUUUACCAGGCUCUUCAGAAGAGUAAUGGUGUACUUCCUGAAUUAUUUCAGUGUCAUGGUACUGCAGAUGAGUUAGUUCUUCAUUCUUGGGCAGAAGAGACAAACUCAAUGUUAAAAUCUCUAGGAGUGACCACGAAGUUUCAUAGUUUUCCAAAUGUUUACCAUGAGCUAAGCAAAACUGAGUUAGACAUAUUGAAGUUAUGGAUUCUUACAAAGCUGCCAGGAGAAAUGGAAAAACAAAAAUGAAUGAAUCAAGAGUGAUUUGUUAAUGUCAUUAGCUAUUGUUAGUGUUAGUGUAUUUUUUGUGUGGCCCAAGACAAUCUUCUUCCAGUGUGGCCCAGGGAAGCCAAAAAAUUGGACACACUUGAUGUAAACAUUUCAAGAAAAUUCAGACUAUAUGAUCACUCAAGACAGCCGAUUCACCAGCCUUCUGAAGGGAAGACUAAGCAUAUUCCUAUAUUGAAGGAAAGAUAUCAAUGAUGGUGAUGCCACUAAAUAGAAGCAUCUUGGAUCUUACUAUUUGGAGUAGAACCACACGAGGAGAAGCCAUCCAACCUACAUAAGACUAUGACGCUACCAUUGAAAUGGAAAAUUUGCUGGAGAAAGUUGAUUAACAUUUCACGGAAGAGGAGAAUUGUAAUAACCAUUUGAUAGAAGAGAGAUGUCCUUGAACUCAAUCUAUCCUGAAGAUGCUCCUGAGAGGGCAAACAAAUAACAUCUCUCUGGAAGGAUGCCUGCCUUUGUCAAAGCUUUCAAAUCUGUAUGACUUCUAUCUUUCCUUGGCUUCCCUUACUCAAUUAGUCAAGAAUCCUUGUGGAUGUUUGACAUAAAAUGUCACUCACAUCUGCCCUCCUCCUCAACUUUCCAUUCCAUCCUCUCCACAGAUGCCUGAUGCAUUUUCUUCUGACUCAGUCUUCUGUUUUUCAUGGAGAACAGAGCAAGACAGAAGCUCCCGACUGUGGCAUCCAAGAGCAACUUGAGCUGCUCCCUUACUUAUCUCUGGUAAUGAUUUGAAUCCUUUGCUUUUGCCAGACUGACUCAUCUAGUCAUUGCUCCCCAAAUAUUCAUUUCCCCAUUAUUUCUUGUGGCCUAAGCACCAAAUUUUGUUCUUUCAAAAUCUACUCUUCCUUCAGGUCUGGCUCAAAUUCUUUGUGAUGACUGUUCUACCAUAUGGCUUAAUAGCUAAGUACACAUGCAUUGACCUCAAGCCUUCCCACAGCUCAGGUUCCUGAGGCACAGACUCUGGAUGGAAAUUAGCACAUAAUAGGUUUAUUAGAAAGUGCUCUUGGAAUUAACAUCUUUGGAGGAAGAAAAGAAGCAAUAUUGUCCAGAGAGGGAAGUUGAACUGCAAUGAAGUUGCCACAGAGGCUUCAAUGAAUCCUUCUGGGAGUAGAGCUGGGAUGUCCUUUCCAGAGUUUUCCAAUUAAGGGAAUUGUAUCUCACCUCAAUCUCUAGUCUGAACCUUGGGUGAGGCAGCUUCUUUCAGCCAAUGGCAAUUCCUGGAGGCACCAGGAGUUAUGAGCAGUCAACACUCUUUCUUUGCUCCUGAGAAAAUUGAGUGCCCUCUUUGGUCCUAAAAGCAGCUCUGGGCAGCACUCCACAGCAUCCACUACAGACUUAGUGAGUUCACCCUGGCUCUCCCACUUACAGAUUGCAGGUAAGUUUCUUAACUUGCCUAUGCCCUUAUCAUCACUGCUACUAAAAACCUACAUAUGCUGCCUUCUGUUGUCAUUUUAAAAAUCUAAUUAUGACUCACAUCACAAUUGUUCACAACACACAACCAUUGAGAACCAUGGAGCUGGGUUAUGAAGUCUCUAAGGUAAGAGAUUGUAUCAUUUUCAUCUUCAUACCACCACCUCCUCCCUUACAAAGGAAUUUUGUCAUUGUAAAUUUGUCUUGAUUUGCUAUUUUUUGGGUUUAGCUCUGAAGUCAUGUAUUAGUAAAGAGAGAUAUAAGACAAAUUUUCCUGCUAUUUUUAUAAAUUCAGUAUUGAAAAUAGAUUCCCAUUUCCCAGCUUUGAGACCUUUUAUUUUAAGCAAUAUUUGUUAGCAGAAAAUGUCUGUUCUGAAAGAGGUGUGCCAUGAGGUCAUGUUGACUUAUCUCCCUUAAUUUCCCUAAUGUCCCCUUCUCUUCAACUUCUCUUCACUGCUUUCUUUAAGAGUUUUCAGAUUGCCAGAGCCUUUCUACUGGUUUAUUUGCCAUUGUUCUGUCCCCUACUCCAGCUACCCACCAAACUACAACUAACACCAUCAUUGUUGCUCAUCACAAAUCUGAUCAUAUGGUUCUUAAAUUUCUCUUUUGCUUACAGAAUCAAAUCCAAAAUCCUCACUUUGGCAUUCAGAAGGUCUUUGCAAUGGGCCUUCUCAGCACCUUCCGCUAAAUCCCCCAGCCUUCUGGCCCCUUCCACCUUCUCCAAUGAAUGCUAAGCUCCAGCCACAUUGACCUACUCAUUUCCUGCAAUAUAUUAUGUAGCCUUUCUUGUCUUUAAAAUUGCUUUUUCUAAGUGUGCCUUUUCCCUCAUUUCUCUCAUUGGCACAUAGUUGGUGUUAAAUCAAUAUCUGAUAAAUAAUAAAUUAAUGCAUACAUGGUGAAAAUUUUCUAAAUUUUAAAGUUCUCUGCCCAUGGAGUAGAAGAACAUAGCAUCUGACAUUUUGGCAAUAUAUGAACACAUAAAUGAAUCAAUCAUAAAGAAAUAAUAACUUCUGAAAAUCCAGCCCAUAUAAACAGUUAUUUCUAGAUCCACCGAGCUUCUGCAUGCUGGGCCAGGAAGAUGCCUUUGAUGGCUAGGGGAUAUGUAGGUUUCUGGGUUAUGUUCCAGCUGUCACUCUGUGCAGGGCCUCUGGGGUUCUGCACCUGAAUAAAUGGUUAAAUCUUCAAUCCUAAUAUGGCUGGGCAUCCAGUUAGUCAUGACUGAGACAAAGGGUAAGGAAGGUGAGUACCUCUGUGAACAGUGGUUAGUUUGUUUGGGCAUUUAACCAAAAGGGUACUCAGGGUCUUUGAGACACCUGCAGAGGGAAUUAUCCAUCAACCAGGCACAUAAGUGGAGAGGACAAGCUCAUGAAAGAAAAACAUCACCCUGAAGACGGGUAGCUGGGAGGCAGGCGAGGGAAGCUAACAAAACACCCUUCUUUUAUGAGUCACUUUUUUAAGGUCUUGCUUAAAUUUUUUGUUUAAAAAAAUUAUGAUUUAAAAGGUUCAAACAGCCUAGGGAAGUAAAUCCAUGCAUACUUCCAACAUUAGUUAAUAUUUACUAAGAAAUCAUAGGUUACAACAAAUUAAACUUUUUGGCUCUCUUACUGAGCUUUUCUGGCCAACCAUGUUAGGGACUGUUCCUACAGAUAGUUUAUAACUAUUUUUUUACCCCUCUAAGCAACUAAAGUGCAACGAAUCAGAAGAACUCUGGGUCCAUGUGGUUCUUAAGCCAGGGUCUUUGGAAAAUGGAUUUGAGGUUGAGGAAUGGAUCAAUGUGAACAGGCAGACACUAGACGUGCCCGCUAAUAACUGGGAAAAGUGAGUUAGAUUUCUCCUUGUUUGAGGUGGAAUUCCUUCAUAUAAACCUGGGCACCCUCAGAGAGAAAUGCUUUAUAGUCCAAACUGAUGUUUAUUUUGGACUCUGUUUCUCUUUCAGCUUUCAGUUGCGACCUUAGGAAUGAGCUCACAAUUGGAAGCAAAUCUGUCUUCUGUUUCUACUGUUAAAGAAUUACCUACCCACUGACAAAAACACAUAGGAUUAACAAUGGCUUUGUCCCAGAUAGAUGCUUUUUGGAAUUGUACAAACUGUAUUUAUGAUGCUGGUACAUUUUGGUCCAACUUUUAAAUAUUUCAAUAAGACUGAUUGAAUUCUUAGUAAAUAGAAUACUUCCUCUGUUCAGUUUUGCUCUGUUGAAUGCUGGAAGUUUGGUGAGUCUGACCCACUACACGUAUCUCAGAUGAUUUAAAAACAAAGGCAGGCCAUUUGGUUUUGAUGCUGUGUCUGUUUUGGGCAGUGUCUCAGAUUGAAAUCCUGUGAAUAAAAAGUGGUUCUGAAAAGUUAUUCUUAGCCACUUAGGUAUAGGCUCUUAGUCUUGAGAAAUGGGUAAGGCUUCUGAAUGUCUGAUUUAGUCAUACAAAUCAUCAUUUGGCAUAUCUCUUUUGUGGAUUUUCAUUGGUAUUGAUUCAAAAACAUUUCCAAAGUUACUAAAGAGAGUACUAGUGCAUUCGUACUUCAUUGGUUGGAUCCUUGAACAGACUGCAAGUUAUUCACAUUGGAGUUGACAUUUCCCAGAUUCUCUGGAAGCGAUAAAGAGGGUAGAAGGAACUAACAUGUAUUUAUUCAUUUGUUUUACCAACAAACUUUUAGUUGGUAAAACACUAACACAACAAACCUUUAGUUAUUCAAACACUGAGCUGCAUGUUUUACACAGAACAACUACCUUACUCCCCUUAACAAUUCUAUAAAACCCAUUUUAUAGAUAGAGACUCAGAGAGGUUAAGUAACUUGUAAAUGAAGGAACUAGUAAUUGGAGAACUUGAAAUUUAAAUUUAGAUCUACUGGCCUGAAUGGGUGGCUCAUGCCUGUAAUCCCAGCAUUUUGGGAGGCUGAGUGGGGUGGAUUCCUUGAGCCCAAGAGUUUGAGACCAGCUUGGGUAACAUGGCGAAACCCCAUCUCUACUAAAAACAUAAAAAUUUGUCAGGCAUGGUGGUGUGCACCUGUAGUCCCAGCUACUUGAGAGGCUGAGGUGGGAGAAUCACCUGAACCUGGGAGGUCAAGGCUGCAGUGAGCCGAGAUACGGCCACUACACUCCAGCCUCGGUGCUGGAGUAAGACCCUGUCUC